Molecule: ribosomal RNA, 615 nt
Filed under: Triticum aestivum (bread wheat)
Lineage: Eukaryota; Viridiplantae; Streptophyta; Magnoliopsida; Poales; Poaceae
Description: partial small subunit ribosomal RNA
Source: RNAcentral
AUGGAAGGAGCCAAAGAAGGCACGUCUUGGUUUCAGUUUUGUCGACAAGAGAACGAAAAAGGAUUGCUGGAGAAAGCUUAUGGAACCCGUGACUAUGUCAACAAGGGCAAGACUCCGGAUUUCAAUGGACAACAUGAGAAACUGAAAGAUGAUUGGCCAGAAUUUGUGAGGCAAAAGAAAUCGGAGCAUUUCAAGGAAAUAUCAAAAAAAAAUAAGGAUAAUGCGAGUAAGAAAAAGUUCCAUCAUAUUAUGGGGCCAGGAGGAUACCGCCUUUCGGAGCCUAAGUGGCAGAAGAUGGAGGAGGACCUGAGGGUGCGAGGAAUCCCUCUAGGUACAGAGGGAUGGGACCCAAGGGCCAAAAGCUGGUGGUACGGGCAUGGGGGAUCGCUAGACCCGGAGACAGGGGUGUGUGUUCACCGGAAGAAAAAGUUUGCUCCCACCGAAGCCCUUAUUGACGCAAUGACCCAAGCUCAAGAGGGCUUGAUCAAGUUCAACAGAGAGAAAGACGCACUGACAACAGUCCUCGGGAAUGAUGAACACGGAGGACGUGUACGAGGCAAAGGCAGAAUUCCAUGGAAAGUAGGGUUUUCCCAGGACAAUGACCCGUACUGUUAG